RNAcentral lists this ribosomal RNA (700 nucleotides) under uncultured bacterium. RNAcentral's name for it is "bacterial SSU rRNA". It matches the Rfam family "Bacterial small subunit ribosomal RNA", at positions 56 to 752 of the family's 1533-position model. The record is from RNAcentral.
UGCAGUCGAACGGCAGCACGGACUUCGGUCUGGUGGCGAGUGGCGAACGGGUGAGUAACAUAUCGGAACGUAUCCAAUAAUGGGGGAUAACUAAUCGAAAGGUUGGCUAAUACCGCAUACGCCCUACGGGGGAAAGCUAGGGACCUUCGGGCCUGGCGUUAAUGGAGCGGCCGAUAUCUGAUUAGCUAGUUGGUGGGGUAAAGGCCCACCAAGGCGACGAUCAGUAGCUGGUCUGAGAGGACGACCAGCCACACUGGAACUGAGACACGGUCCAGACUCCUACGGGAGGCAGCAGUGGGGAAUUUUGGACAAUGGGCGCAAGCCUGAUCCAGCCAUUCCGCGUGAGUGAAGAAGGCCUUCGGGUUGUAAAGCUCUUUCGCAAGGGAAGAAAACUUAGUCUCUAACAUAGACUGAGGUUGACGGUACCUUGAUAAGAAGCACCGGCUAACUACGUGCCAGCAGCCGCGGUAAUACGUAGGGUGCGAGCGUUAAUCGAAAUUACUGGGCGUAAAGCGUGCGCAGGCGGUUUUGUAAGUCAGAUGUGAAAUCCCCGAGCUCAACUUGGGAACUGCGUUUGAAACUACAAGACUAGAAUAUGUCAGAGGGGGGUAGAAUUCCACGUGUAGCAGUGAAAUGCGUAGAGAUGUGGAGGAAUACCAAUGGCGAAGGCAGCCCCCUGGGAUAAUAUUGACGCUCAUGC